UACAGAGGGGGCUAGCGUUGUUCGGAAUUACUGGGCGUAAAGGGCGCGUAGGCGGCCCGCUAAGUCGAACGUGAAAUCCCCGGGCUCAACCCGGGAACUGCGUCCGAUACUGGCAGGCUUGAAUCCGGGAGAGGGAUGUGGAAUUCCAGGUGUAGCGGUGAAAUGCGUAGAUAUCUGGAGGAACACCGGUGGCGAAGGCGACAUCCUGGACCGGUAUUGACGCUGAGGCGCGAAAGCCAGGGGAGCAAACGGG
This 253-nucleotide ribosomal RNA is filed under the name uncultured bacterium. Its description in RNAcentral is "partial 16S ribosomal RNA". It matches the Rfam family "Bacterial small subunit ribosomal RNA", at positions 524 to 776 of the family's 1533-position model. The record is from RNAcentral.